AUUGAACGCUGGCGGCAUGCUUUACACAUGCAAGUCGAACGGUAACAGGCCUUCGGGUGCUGACGAGUGGCGAACGGGUGAGUAAUGCAUCGGAACGUGCCCAGAGGUGGGGGAUAACGCAGCGAAAGCUGUGCUAAUACCGCAUGUGAUCUGAGGAUGAAGGCGGGGGACCAAGCAGCAAUGUUUGGCCUCGCGCCUCUGGAGCGGCCGAUGUCAGAUUAGGUAGUUGGUGGGGUAAAGGCCUACCAAGCCGACGAUCUGUAGCUGGUCUGAGAGGACGACCAGCCACACUGGGACUGAGACACGGCCCAGACUCCUACGGGAGGCAGCAGUGGGGAAUUUUGGACAAUGGGCGCAAGCCUGAUCCAGCAAUGCCGCGUGCGGGAAGAAGGCCUUCGGGUUGUAAACCGCUUUUGUACGGAACGAAAAGGCUCUGGCUAAUACCUGGGGCUGAUGACGGUACCGUAAGAAUAAGCACCGGCUAACUACGUG
Molecule: ribosomal RNA, 492 nt
Filed under: uncultured bacterium
Lineage: Bacteria
Description: partial 16S ribosomal RNA
Rfam family: Bacterial small subunit ribosomal RNA
Source: RNAcentral